AGGAGGAAGCACCGACGGGGAUACGAUGAAUCGACAAUACGUACAGAGACUAGCACUGUAUGCUCCCUUACCGAUGAUGAGCGAGAUACGCUAGACGAUCCCACAGACAGUGCAUAUAUACAAAUGGAACUACAAGAUACUGUUCCCACCGCACCGGCUUCUCCUCUUCAAGGCAUCCAUCCUACCACCCGCAAUGGAAGCUCCAUCUAUGCUAGUGCGCAUGCACCGCUGCUCUCACCCUCACUGUCUG
RNAcentral lists this unclassified non-coding RNA (250 nucleotides) under Hevea brasiliensis (rubber tree). The record is from RNAcentral. Lineage: Eukaryota; Viridiplantae; Streptophyta; Magnoliopsida; Malpighiales; Euphorbiaceae.